UAGAGGUCAGACUGGGCAAACAUGGGUCA
RNAcentral lists this non-coding RNA (29 nucleotides) under Mus musculus (house mouse). The record is from RNAcentral. Lineage: Eukaryota; Metazoa; Chordata; Mammalia; Rodentia; Muridae.